This 301-nucleotide ribosomal RNA is filed under the name uncultured bacterium. RNAcentral's name for it is "partial 16S ribosomal RNA". It matches the Rfam family "Bacterial small subunit ribosomal RNA", at positions 509 to 807 of the family's 1533-position model. The record is from RNAcentral.
CAGUCGCCGCGGGAAUACGGAGGGUGCAAGCGUUAAUCGGAAUUACUGGGCGUAAAGCGCACGCAGGCGGUUUGUUAAGUCGGGUGUGAAAUCCCCGAGCUUAACUUGGGAACUGCAUUUGAAACUGGCAAGCUAGAGUCUUGUAGAGGGGGGUAGAAUUCCAGGUGUAGCGGUGAAAUGCGUAGAGAUCUGGAGGAAUACCGGUGGCGAAGGCGGCCCCCUGGACAAAGACUGACGCUCAGGUGCGAAAGCGUGGGGAGCAAACAGGAUUAGAUACCCGCGUAGUCCCUGUCUCUUAUAC